RNAcentral lists this ribosomal RNA (118 nucleotides) under Pteropus alecto (black flying fox). The record is from RNAcentral. Lineage: Eukaryota; Metazoa; Chordata; Mammalia; Chiroptera; Pteropodidae.
GUCUACCGCCGUACCACCCUGAACGCACCAGAUCUCGUCUGAUCUGGGAAGCUAAUAGGGUCGGACCUGGUUAGUACUUGGAUGAGAGAUCGCCUGGGAAUAUCGGGUGCUGUAGGCU